GACGAACGCUGGCGGCGUGCUUAACACAUGCAAGUCGAACGGAAGGGCCCUGCUUUUGUGGGUUGCUCGAUUGGCGAACGGGUGAGUAACACGUGAGUAACCUGCCCUUGACUUUGGGAUAACUUCAGGAAACUGGGGCUAAUACCGGAUAGGAGCUCCUGCUGCAUGGUGGGGGUUGGUAAGUGUCGGCGGUAGGGGAUGGUCUCGCGGGUUAUCAGCUUGUUUGGGGGGUAGGUGCUUACCAAGGCUUUGACGGGUAGGCGGCCUGAGAGGGGGGCCGGCGACCUGGGGCCUGCGGGACGGACCAGUAGGCUACGGGAGGCAGCAGUCGAGAGUCUUGCGCAGCGGCCCGAAGCCUGAGGCAGCGGCGCCCCGUGCGGGAUACUGGCUUACGAGUUAUAAACCGAUUUCGCAUGUGACGAAGCGUGAGUGACGGUACUGGGUCAAGAAGCACCGGCUAACUACGUG
Molecule: ribosomal RNA, 468 nt
Filed under: uncultured bacterium
Lineage: Bacteria
Description: partial 16S ribosomal RNA
Rfam family: Bacterial small subunit ribosomal RNA
Source: RNAcentral